RNAcentral lists this long non-coding RNA (2030 nucleotides) under Olea europaea subsp. europaea. The record is from RNAcentral. Lineage: Eukaryota; Viridiplantae; Streptophyta; Magnoliopsida; Lamiales; Oleaceae.
AUUGCAUUGUUUGUACUACAACGCAUUCUUUCCGCAAAAACACUUAAACUUGGUGCUGGUGAAUCCUGAAAGGCUACUGUUCUGAAAAAACAAAACAAUGCCUUGUUAGCUAUUUGAACGAGAAUUUUCUACCAAUGACAUUUGGGAUUUGUGCUUCACAGAUUAUUUUCUUUGGUAUCUUUUUUUCUUUUUCCAGAAAAUAAUUGCGUUCGGUCUACAUGUGAGCGAUUUCAUCAUUUCCUUCUUGUAAAAUCUAAGCAACAAGAUGCAGCUGUCCCUCCACUUGAAGAAACUCUCUGGAAGAUAACAGAGCCUGAUCCUGAACUUAUUUCUGAAAAUAAAGCUGUUUAUAGAUUAAUUUCAUAGAUGCUUCGAACUGAAAGAGAAUUUGAAUGUUAUUUUGGCCGAUCAUCAUAAUUAUUUUUUGUAUGCAACCAAAUUCUACAGAAGUAGUGGUUUUUCUUACUCAGUUUAUUCUGUAGCUUAAGUUGUCUCAAAUAUUAUUAAUAGAGAAACCAACUGGAUCAAGUGAGGAAGGAGUUGGCGAAGGUACUGAUGUGCAAGACACUGAAUUCACUUCUUGAGUAAAGUUGAGAAAAUGGGGGAUUUGGAUCCUGUUCAAGAUUUUGAAGCCAUGAUGUCUCAAAGAGAUAGUACAGAAUAGGUUAAUAAAGCAAUUCAAGAUAUGAAAAAUCACCCAGGAAAUUGCCUAGACCCUAAAAGCCUACUUGUAAAUGAUGAUUCAAUUUAUCACAUAUUGUUUGGUUCAAUAUAUGACUAGAUAAUCAGUAUUUUAUCUUUAUUGGCGUGUAACUUUCAAUCUUGAAUAUUUUAUUCACACUUGUUGGCCCAUUCCCCUUCCUCAAUGUUAUUUUACAUCUCUUGUUGACUGCACAACGUCAUAGUAGGAAGAACAGUGGAAGUGUUGUUUUAGGAGUUAUUAAUGAUGAAGUUCUCGUGUUAUUCUCUAACAAUUUCUGCAGCUCUGCCAGAUUCAAAUUACAGUUGUAUUCAGGGAAAUAUGUUGACUGUAUUUUUUAUCCUUGUGAUUAAGCAUACUAUUUCAACUAUAUAUUGGUUCUUAUCCAAGAAAUGUAAGUUGGUUAGCUAUGAAAACAAAUUUGUGAAAUUCAAGCAACCUUUCCCCAAAUUGACAUGAGAAAUGUAAACCGGUUAGCUAUGAGAAACAAAUCGCUGAAAUUCAGUGGCUUAUUUUAUUUUAUUUAUUUAUUUAUUUUUCCCCCAAAUUUGCAUGAGAAAUUUUUGUUCCGAACUUGUAAUGUUGACUCUUUUUGCAGACUACUACAAAACAUCUGUCAAAUAUUUUGAGUUUUUCCUUGAACAGGAACCCAAACAAUCCAAUGAUUUCCUGCACCAUCUUGUCAAAUUCUGCCAAGAGAAAGACCUCAAAAGAUUCGGUGAAUAUCUUGCAUCACUAGAAAUUACACUGAUAAGCAAGAAAGAAGCACCUGACAGGUCGGUUAUUACAAAGUUUGUCCUACAAUUCUUCAUGGCCUUCAUUUUUUACUUUUAUUCUCACCUCGUAAUUUUAGCAUAAUGCUUAUUGUUGGUGCAUAUAUCCUUGCUAUCCAAACAGUGAGUCUCCCAGGAUGAUGCCUGAAGCUUUAUUGUUAAAAGGGAGCCAAAAGCCGAGCAAGGAUUGUGAGAAUUGACCUGGUGGCCUCUAGUUUGGCAUGGGCACGAGAAAUUCACUCAGAUAUUUUGAUGAUAUAUUUUCUACUCGUGUCUUUGAUAUGUAUAACUUCAACAGGAAUCACGCCAAACAAUGGAUUUGAAACUUGUCCAUUCUGAAAAGUUGCACAUAUUUUUCAAGCUUAAUCUUUCAAUUGGCAAUGAAAGAAAACUUGAUGUUAAUGUAAAAUGAUGUUUCAAUGAAUUAUUGGGUAGACGGUAAGUUGUACAACCAAUUUUGGACGUUGGAUCUCAACUUCUUUCAGAGAGUCUCUAUUUUAAUUCUUGGAGGGUGUAGACUUGCAGUACUACGUAAAUUGUGUAAUGCAGUAUGGAAG